AGAAGAAGCAAAAAUCCGAGCUUGAGUAAACCUCCAAAGUGCUAAAGCAAAGGCCAGGUCAAGAAAGCUCGAGGGAGAUUAAUGAAGAAGCAUAUGAGCAAAGAAGCACAUGAGCAAACUUUAUCGGCUGUUGUUACAUGGAUUAAUGAAGAAGCACAUGAGCAAACUUUAUCUACUGUUGUUACAUGCACGAUAUUGGCAACUGCAGGACCUCGACGAUCCUAUGUUCUUCCUACUCUAUACAAGAAGGUAUUUGUUGGAAGUUGGUCUACUGCUUCAACAACAAUGAAGAAUGAAACAAGCAGAAGCCAUUUUCAUGUUCAAGGAUGUGCUUACCUGUUGCAUGUAGAUGUUUGUUAAGUAAUUGUUAAUGAAAGACAAUGAUUUGUUAUUGUUUUUUUUUUAUCAUUUUUGAUGUGAAUGUUGUACUAAUUUAAACUUGCAAGUUUGGUUUUGACACCAUUUUGUGACAUCAAACUCAACGUACAACACCCGGGUAACAAAAUUCCCAAGGUUGUUGAAUUGGAUUGAUAUGAAUAUCAGGAGAAGUUAAUCAAAAGUGCUU
Molecule: long non-coding RNA, 565 nt
Organism: Vigna angularis (adzuki bean)
Lineage: Eukaryota; Viridiplantae; Streptophyta; Magnoliopsida; Fabales; Fabaceae
Exons: 3
Source: RefSeq, a predicted model, not a curated record